This 509-nucleotide ribosomal RNA is filed under the name uncultured bacterium. Its description in RNAcentral is "bacterial SSU rRNA". It matches the Rfam family "Bacterial small subunit ribosomal RNA", at positions 19 to 518 of the family's 1533-position model. The record is from RNAcentral.
CUGGCUCAGAACGAACGCUGGCGGCGCGUUUAAGCAUGCAAGUCGAGCGGCAAGGGCCUUCGGGCCCUAGAGCGGCGGACGGGUGAGUAACACGUGGACAAUCUGCCCCCCGGCCCGGGAUAGCCCAGGGAAACCUGGAUUAAUACCGGAUGAGACGGGACCCGCGAUGGCGGGAUCCGGGAAAGGCGCUGCGGCGCCGCCGGGGGAUGAGUCUGCGUCCCAUUAGCUAGACGGCGGGGUAACGGCCCACCGUGGCGACGAUGGGUAGCCGGCCUGAGAGGGUGGACGGCCACAUUGGAACUGAGACACGGUCCAGACUCCUACGGGAGGCAGCAGCUAAGAAUCUUCCGCAAUGGGCGAAAGCCUGACGGAGCCGACGCCGCGUGAACGAAGAAGGCCGUGAGGUUGUAAAGUUCUUUUCGGGAGGGGAACAACCGUGGCAGGGAAUGGCCGCGGGAUGACGUGAACUCCCGGAAUAACGCCCCGGCUAACUACGUGCCAGCAGCCGC